AUUCCAGCUCCAAUAGCGUAUAUUAAAGUUGUUGCAGUUAAAAAGCUCGUAGUUGGAGUUCAGAGUGAGCUCAGCCGGUCCGCCUCAUGGGUGAGUACUGGUCGACUCUCUCUUGUUUGUGAAUCCCGCCCGGAGUUAAUUCUUCGGGAUGUGGAGUUCACAUCGUUUACCUUGAAAAAAUUAGAGAGUUCAAAGCAGGCGUUUGCUUGAAUAUAUUAGCAUGGAAUAAUGGAAUAGGACCCUGGUUCUAUUUUGUUGGUUUUGAGAACCAGAGUAAUGAUUAAUAGGGAUAGUUGGGGGCAUUCAUAUUUCAUUGUCAGAGGUGAAAUUCUUGGAUUUAUGAAAGAUGAGCUUCUGCGAAAGCAUUUGCCAAGGAUGUUUUCAUUA
This 387-nucleotide ribosomal RNA is filed under the name Telonemia sp. RNAcentral describes it as "partial small subunit ribosomal RNA". It matches the Rfam family "Eukaryotic small subunit ribosomal RNA", at positions 582 to 975 of the family's 1831-position model. Lineage: Eukaryota; Telonemia. The record is from RNAcentral.